Peromyscus maniculatus bairdii (prairie deer mouse) is the source of this 312-nucleotide long non-coding RNA. RefSeq lists it as uncharacterized. The record is from RefSeq and is a predicted model, not a curated record. Lineage: Eukaryota; Metazoa; Chordata; Mammalia; Rodentia; Cricetidae.
AGAAAUUUUCCAAAGUAAGGGGGCCGGCAUGGACCAAUCAGCAUCCUGGGGGCAGGUCGUCCGCGGGUGGAAAAGUGGGAGUGACUUAGGAGGGAAAUCAUCAGAAACCCGGCAGAGGUCCUAGCGUGGGAAAACGCCCUCUGCGCUAGGAGAGAGCAGCCGCGAUGCCUGCCUCCGCGCCCCGCGGGACCCCUUUCCUUCUCCUAGCUCCUCUCCUGAUGCUGUCCGCUGUGCUGGCCGUGCCCCUGGACCGCGCGGCGCCCCAUCAGGACGACAGCCAGGCCACUGAGAGCCCGGGGCUGAAGACAUGUC